CCUGAUUGAUUCUGUCAGCGCGAUAUGCUCAAGUAAAAGAUUAAGCCAUGCAUGCUUUGAUUCAUCAAUGAAAUUGCGUACGGCUCAUUAGAGCAGAUAUCACCUUGUUCGGAAUAUUAUAUGGAUAACUGCGGAAAUACUGGAGCUAAUACAUGUCAUACAUCCCCAACGUAAGGCGGGGUGCAAUUAUUAGAACAGACCAAACGUUUUCGGACGUUGUUUGUUGACUCUGAAUAAAGCAGUUUACUGUCAGUUUCGACUGACUCUAUCCGAAAAGGGUGUCUGCCCUUUCAACUAGAUGGUAGUUUAUUGGACUACCAUGGUUGUUACGGGUAACGGAGAAUAAGGGUUCGACUCCGGAGAGGGAGCCUUAGAAACGGCUACCACGUCCAAGGAAGGCAGCAGGCGCGAAACUUAUCCACUGUUGAGUAUGAGAUAGUGACUAAAAAUAUAAAGACUCAUCCUUUUGGAUGAGUUAUUUCAAUGAGUUGAAUACAAAUGAUUCUUCGAGUAGCAAGGAGAGGGCAAGUCUGGUGCCAGCAGCCGCGGUAAUUCCAGCUCUCCUAGUGUAUCUCGUUAUUGCUGCGGUUAAAAAGCUCGUAGUUGGAUCUAGGUUACGUUCUGUAGUUCGCAAUUUGCGUCAACUGUAGUCGUGACUUCUAAUUUGCUGGUUUGAGGUUGGGUUCGCCCUUCAACUGCCAGCAGGUUUACCUUGAAUAAAUCAGAGUGCUCAAAACAAGUGUUUGCUUGAAUAGCUCAUCAUGGAAUAAUGAAACAGGACUUCGGUUCUUUUUGUUGGUUCUAGAACUGAUUUAAUGGUUAAGAGGGACAAACCGGGGGCAUUCGUAUCAUUACGCGAGAGGUGAAAUUCGUGGACCGUAGUGAGACGCCCAACAGCGAAAGCAUUUGCCAAGAAUGUCUUCAUUAAUCAAGAACGAAAGUCAGAGGUUCGAAGGCGAUUAGAUACCGCCCUAGUUCUGACCGUAAACGAUGCCAUCUCGCGAUUCGGAGGGUUUUUGGCCUGCCGAGGAGCUAUCCGGAAACGAAAGUCUUUCGGUUCCGGGGGUAGUAUGGUUGCAAAGCUGAAACUUAAAGAAAUUGACGGAAGGGCACCACAAGGCGUGGAGCUUGCGGCUUAAUUUGACUCAACACGGGAAAACUCACCCGGUCCGGACACCUUUAGGACUGACAGAUUGAAAGCUCUUUCUCGAUAUGGUGGUUGGUGGUGCAUGGCCGUUCUUAGUUGGUGGAGUGAUUUGUCUGGUUUAUUCCGAUAACGAGCGAGACUCUAGCCUGCUAAAUAGUUGGCGAACCCUAAGUAUGUAUAAGUGUUAAAGUAUUGCCUAAAAAGUUUUGAUAUAUGUAGAUUAAAAUAAUAUAUCUACUAGACGAAAAAAAUCAGUUAAAAAAAAGUAAAUUACUACAAGCUUAAAGGUCUGUUUUAAGCAAUGCUUGUUGUAGGCAUACUUUCGGGUUCGUGUGACUUCUUAGAGGGAUAAGCGGUGUUUAGCCGCACGAGAUUGAGCGAUAACAGGUCUGUGAUGCCCUUAGAUGUCCGGGGCUGCACGCGUGCUACACUGGUAGACUCAGCGGGUUUUUCCUAUGCCGAAAGGUAUCGGUAAACCGUUGAAAUUCUGCCAUGUCCGGGAUAGGGCAUUGUAAUUAUUACCCUUGAACGAGGAAUGCCUAGUAAGUGUGAGUCAUCAGCUCACGUUGAUUACGUCCCUGCCCUUUGUACACACCGCCCGUCGCUAUCCGGGACUGAACUGAUUCGAGAAGAAUGAGGACUGUUGCCUCGAGGUUUAACGACUUCGUUGUUGCGGAAACCAUUUUGAUCGCGUUGGUUUGAACCGGGUAAAAGUCGUAACAAGGUAGCUGUAGGUGAACCUGCAGCUG
This 1896-nucleotide ribosomal RNA is filed under the name Caenorhabditis elegans. RNAcentral's name for it is "SSU rRNA". It matches the Rfam family "Eukaryotic small subunit ribosomal RNA". Lineage: Eukaryota; Metazoa; Nematoda; Chromadorea; Rhabditida; Rhabditidae. RNAcentral also lists the same sequence under 1 other name. The record is from RNAcentral.